Molecule: non-coding RNA, 21 nt
Filed under: Caenorhabditis elegans
Lineage: Eukaryota; Metazoa; Nematoda; Chromadorea; Rhabditida; Rhabditidae
Source: RNAcentral
UUGGAACAGUAUUGUUCAUCU